GAUGAACGCUGGCGGCGUGCCUAAUACAUGCAAGUCGAGCGAACAGACGAGGAGCUUGCUCCUCUGACGUUAGCGGCGGACGGGCGAGUAACACGUGGAUAACCUACCUAUAAGACUGGGAUAACUUCGGGAAACCGGAGCUAAUACCGGAUAAUAUAUUGAACCGCAUGGUUCAAUAGUGAAAGACGGUUUUGCUGCCACUUAUAGAUGGAUCCGCGCCGCAUUAGCUAGUUGGUAAGGUAACGGCUUACCAAGGCGACGAUGCGUAGCCGACCUGAGAGGGUGAUCGGCCACACUGGAACUGAGACACGGUCCAGACUCCUACGGGAGGCAGCAGUAGGGAAUCUUCCGCAAUGGGCGAAAGCCUGACGGAGCAACGCCGCGUGAGUGAUGAAGGUCUUCGGAUCGUAAAACUCUGUUAUUAGGGAAGAACAAAUGUGUAAGUAACUAUGCACGUCUUGACGGUACCUAAUCAGAAAGCCACGGCUAACUACGUG
This 497-nucleotide ribosomal RNA is filed under the name uncultured bacterium. Its description in RNAcentral is "partial 16S ribosomal RNA". It matches the Rfam family "Bacterial small subunit ribosomal RNA", at positions 28 to 507 of the family's 1533-position model. The record is from RNAcentral.